RNAcentral lists this long non-coding RNA (1140 nucleotides) under Gopherus agassizii (Agassiz's desert tortoise). RNAcentral describes it as "lncRNA (ENSGAGG00000025019.1)". The record is from RNAcentral. Lineage: Eukaryota; Metazoa; Chordata; Testudines; Testudinidae.
CUCAAUUUUGCUGGAGCCAGGAGGCAGAGGCAGAGAGGGAGAGAACACUCCAUUUUCUUGCCGGUAGCUACUGCACUUUUUCUUACUGGUGCUCCGUACCGGCCUGUACCUGCUUACUUUCACCUCUGGCCUGAGCGGUUAUCUUGACUGUAGUUAUUCCAUGGCAGUCAUGCAGGCUGAGCUAGCGGGAAUCACAUCUCAUGGCUCAAGGCGUGCAGUGCUCCCUGCAUGCGUUCCGGAAGGAAUUGUACAUGAACACAUUAUACAAAUGGCCAGGUGCAUUUGAGUGGCUUUGCCUUCCUGUGAAGCGUCAGUCAAGGCUGCUACUACGUCUGAGCCAGACUGGCAAACCCUCUGCUUCUAUUUAUCCUGACCCCGGUUUCCGCUUCCCCAUUCAGCACAAACACCACUGCUCAGGGAGCAAUUAUUUUCCUCUCCGACCGUGCUCCCCUCUGGCCAGCUGCGCACCCGAGCCACAUAUCCAGGCAGAGCACGCAAGCAUCCUGGCUACCACGCCCGCUGUGCAGGGGGCAGCAGGCUUUAAGCUGAAGCAAGUGGUGCCUUAAUGGUUUAGUGUCAGCGCUGUUCAUCUGCUGACUGAAAAGAAUUCCACUGCAGACCACCAACCUGAAGCGAGGGCAUGUGGGUUUGUUUUGCCUCCAGACCGGUUUCUCAAACGCCCCGUGGGGAAGGAUUUGCACCAGAACUUGUCAGCAUUUAAGCUGCUCAAAGUGGAAUUUGUUUCUCCAGGAGGGCAAGCGGCAUUUUUGCAACAAGCCCCUGCUGGGACUGACAUACCAGCUGUACAGCGUGACCCAUCCCGCGGGGGUGUGUGGGGGGAAGUCUCUCACAACAAGCUUCGUCUCCCGGAUGGAAUGCAACAGGCAGACGGACUCAGAAGGAGGGCAGCUUGGAGAGUGAACGCAGAGUCUCGCUUUUCUCCCUCUCUACUGCUCUGAUCAAAAGGGUCAGCUGCUCGUUAAUGGUGGCAGGUGCUGGGUUUUCCGUCUGAUCAGAAAGGUGGGGGUCUCCAGGGUACGAUUCGGUGCUGAGUGAAAGGGCAAAGCAGCCAUGCUGCUGAGCUUUGCUUCAAGCCUGCCUCAGAGAGAGAGAGCAAUGUUAGCAAUACUUUCCCUCAAG